UACGGAGGGUGCAAGCGUUACUCGGAAUCACUGGGCGUAAAGAGCGCGUAGGCGGGAUAGCAAGUCAGCGGUAAAAAUGCGGUGCUCAACGCCGUCGAGCCGUUGAAACUGGCGUUCUUGAGUGGGCGAGAAGUAUGCGGAAUGCGUGGUGUAGCGGUGAAAUGCAUAGAUAUCACGCAGAACUCCGAUUGCGAAGGCAGCAUACCGGCGCCCUACUGACGCUGAGGCACGAAAGCGUGGGUAUCGAACAGG
Molecule: ribosomal RNA, 252 nt
Filed under: uncultured Bacteroidales bacterium
Lineage: Bacteria; Pseudomonadati; Bacteroidota; Bacteroidia; Bacteroidales
Description: partial 16S ribosomal RNA
Rfam family: Bacterial small subunit ribosomal RNA
Source: RNAcentral